GUGUGUGUGUGUGUGUAUGUGUGCGAGUGUGCUUGCUAUGCUCGCGCUCUCAUUUGUGUGUUUUAUGACAAAGACCCCAACUCUGUGUCUGGAAGUAAUCAUCUCGUCCAGGCUGCACUCCACAGCCCCCUCCCUAUGAUGUAAUUGGAGUUUUUCGCAUGAAGGUUCAAGAUUUUCAGUGGGAUUCUGGGGAAUUUUCCAAGAGCUGUUCCAUAUCUCACCAGAGAGGGGCAGCAACCACAUCUGCUGCUGAAAAGUAAACCCCCCCACCCUCCACCCCCUCUCCCUUACUCCUGGGGAGGAGAGUCUGAGCAGAGAGUUGAGGUGGGAGGGGAGAGGGGCUCCCGUCUGAUCCUUUGUCAUGGGAAGACUUUUACUGUGCUGUUACAUACAGAGACAGAGAGGACUUCAGCUUCAGCAGUAACAGAAACAAUCAGGCGCAAGUAUGUGAAUGGGACAGACAAAAAAGGU
This is a long non-coding RNA of Micropterus salmoides (largemouth bass), 471 nucleotides long. RefSeq lists it as uncharacterized. NCBI's taxonomy places the organism in Eukaryota, Metazoa, Chordata, Actinopteri, Centrarchiformes, Centrarchidae. The record is from RefSeq and is a predicted model, not a curated record. The transcript is spliced from 2 exons.